AAAUAUGUACAAUAUGUCAGAGAUUAUUACAAUAACUGUCUAACUGGCUUCCCUGUCUCCAGUGAGGCAGUAAGUGCUAUGUAGAAAAAUAAAGUUGGGUGAGAGAAAUGGAGAAAGACUGGGUGGGAGGUUUGCUUUUCUGUCUACAAUGGUCAGGGGACGUCUGUGAUAAAGUGAGAUCUGAGCAGAAACUUGAAGCAAAGGUUAUCUCAGAGAAGAACAUUCCAGGCAGAGAGAACAGUGAGUGCAACCAUCAUGGGGAAGCUACUCACCACAUGUGAGGUGUGGCAGUAUAGUUGGAAGUACGUCAGAGUAGAUGGGACUGGGGAGAUGAGGUUAGAGAUAAGGUCAGAGUUUCAAGGUUAAGGAUGGGCAGAUCAUGUACAGUCUUGUAAGUUCUGGUAAAGGACUUGGUUUUUCUUCUGCCAAAGGGAAGGGGAGGAAGCCAUGGGAGAAUUAAGAACAAGGAACUGGCCUGAUCAGACUUAACAUUUUAAGAAACUCACUCUGACUGGUCUGUGGAGAAUACACUGUGGGAAAGGAAUGGUGGUGGCAAGGAGACCAGUUAGACAGAUCUUAUAAUAAUCCAGGAGGAGAGAGGCAAAGGGGAGAGAAUCUUAAACAAGCUCUACACCUAAUGUGCAGAGCCUGACGCUGGAGCUUCAUCUCACGACUCUGAGAUCAUGACUGAGUUGGAAUCAAAGUCAAACGCUUAACAGACUGAACCACCCAGGUGUCCCUUACAGUAUUUUAAAGUACAAAAUAGUAUUUACCUCAUAGGAUUUAUUUGAGGAUCAGAUGUGAUAUUAUUCAUGUAUAAUGCUUAGCCCAGGGGCUGGUAUAUGGUCAAUGUUCAGCAAACGGGAGCUACAACGACAUCAUUACUGUUGUAAUUAGUGAUGGAGUUGCAUGGCUGGUGUGCACAGACUACUCCACUCCAGCUGGACCUGGUGUCCUUGAUUUUUUUUUUUUUUCAAAAGAUUUAUUUAUUUUAGUGGGGUCAGGGUCAGGAGGGGCAGAGGGAGAGGGAGAGAGAAUCUCAGGCAGAUGCCCAGGUGAGUGCAGAGCUCCAUGUGGGGCUUGAUUUUGUAACUCUAAGAUCAGACCUGAGCUGAAAUCAAGAGUCUGACGCUCAGCACCCAGGUGCCUCAAACGUCCUUGAUUUUGAUAGUAUGUCCUUGACCCCAGCUGGGCUGAUGACUUUGAUGCCUAAGCCUCUCUGUUUUACUUCCUCAAGGAGGAGGCUUGGUUUCCUACUAGGCUGAAGAGGAGCAGCUGUGCUGCUCCAUUUGGUAGAGGAGUCCUGGAUGGUGGACUUAGUGCUUUUCUUUUUUAAAUAACUGAAGUACAUACAGGUGACACACAGUGUUGCGUUAGUUUCAGGUAUGCAACGUAGUGAUUCAACAACUCUGUUUGCUGUGCUGUGCACACCACCAAUAUUACUGCCACCUGUCACCAUGCAAUGAUAUUACACUAUGUCCUAUUACUCUUACUAUGACCAUGUUCUAUGACUAUGACUAUUGCUACUAACUAUGUUCCCAGCGCUGUGCCUUUCAUUCCCAGGAGAAUGACACAUGGACACUCAAUCAAGCCUUCAGUUUCCAGCCUCCCCACCGAACUGGACACUUUCAGAGAGAUUAAUUCUUACUUGGAGAGAAUGAAAUCAGCACAACAGAGGAAAGCAGAGCCUGGAGACAGAGAACUGAUGACAAGACUUGAGCUUGAUCCAGCUCCAUCUAAAGCCAGAACGCCCGUGGACUUCCAGGUUGCAAGAGCUGAUAAAUUCCCUCUCCUCCUCCCUCUCCCCCAAUCUUUUUCCUUAGCUGGAUCUUCAUUCGAUUUCACUGACGCCUGGCCAAGUGUGUGUACUCAACUCCACGACUGAGAGCCCUGGCUUCUGCAAGGUACUCUCCUCAUCACACUCACUCUUCUGAGGUCCUAGCCUGUUUGUGAUCUCCGCUUUCUGACUGCCCGCCCUGUGGAUACCAGGCUGGCUUAACCGGUUCCUACCUCUGGUCAUGUCCUUGUAAGGCUAGGAGUCCCUGGAGAUCACCAAAAAAAAAAAAAAAAAAAGGACUUGUCAGGAGAACUUGCAGUCCCUCCAAAGGUGCCCCAUUGAUUCAAAAGCCAGAUACUUCUUUGUCAACAAAGGCAUCCCAUGGUGAAAAGUCUGGAGGAUAAAUUGCCCUUGGCUCAUUGUUGUGCAAUCAGAAAUUCAUUCAUGUGAGGAAAAAGCAGAUAAAACUGAUGGAAAAACGCCAAAGAAAGCGGCUGUCAGACUGAUUGCUUUUUGGCAGAGGCUGAGAUCAAGAUUUACCAAGGAAAGCCCACGUAAAUAUGAUCCAAGAGGAAGUGACAGAGCUCAAGAGCAUUACUAAGCCUGGAAACUGGAAUUUCACUUACCUUGCAAGAUAUCAGGUGCCUCCUUCAAAUGAAUUUUUAAGUAUCUCCGUGAUGAUGAGGAAGAACCGAGACAUCAAUUAGGAUUCAGGAAGACAAGUCUUUGCAGAAAAUGCAUAGAGCAUCAAGGAUUGCUAUUAAUAUUUGGAAGUUUAAAAGAGAGUAUAUUUUCCUCAGUCAACAAAUGACAAAAGUAAAGGCAUGGUUUUCAUUGUUUCUGGAAGAAGCCUGGCAGCAUUCCAUUCAGACAUCUGCCCUUUGAUUGUUCUAUUUUCCUCUCUACUUAUUUCAGUCCUUCUAAUCUUCAAGGCUGAGUCUGAAUAUUUCUUCCUGAGGCUUCUUCUAAUCAUCUCUGCCCUUAAGGACAACUCCCUCCUUCAACUCCUAUAGCCCUUACCUGUCAUUUGAAAAUUUAGUACCUAUGUAUUAUACUAUGAUUGAAUAAAUAAAUGUUCAUCUUCUGCAAGUA
This is a long non-coding RNA of Mustela lutreola (European mink), 2869 nucleotides long. RefSeq lists it as uncharacterized. The transcript has 7 exons. Lineage: Eukaryota; Metazoa; Chordata; Mammalia; Carnivora; Mustelidae. The record is from RefSeq and is a predicted model, not a curated record.